AGAAUCAACGCUGGCGGCGUGCCUAACACAUGUAAGUCGCACGAGAAAGGGUAGCAAUACCUGAGUACAGUGGCGCACGGGUGAGUAACACGUGAAUAAUCUACCUCCGAGUGGGGAAUAACUGAGAGAAAUCUUAGCUAAUACCGCAUAAUACCCACGGGUCAAAGCAGCAAUGCGCUUGGAGAGGAGUUCGCGGCAGAUUAGUUAGUUGGCGGGGUAAUGGCCCACCAAGACGAUGAUCUGUA
This 245-nucleotide ribosomal RNA is filed under the name uncultured bacterium. RNAcentral describes it as "partial small subunit ribosomal RNA". It matches the Rfam family "Bacterial small subunit ribosomal RNA", at positions 26 to 285 of the family's 1533-position model. The record is from RNAcentral.